CCUGACGGAGCAAGACCGCGUGGGGGAGGAAAGCCUUUGGGUUGUAAACCCCUUUUCUCAGGGAAGAAGAAAGUGACGGUACCUGAGGAAUCAGCCUCGGCUAACUCCGUGCCAGCAGCCGCGGUAAUACGGAGGAGGCAAGCGUUAUCCGGAAUGAUUGGGCGUAAAGCGUUCGUAGGUGGCAAUUCAAGUCUGCUGUCAAAGACAGUAGCUCAACUACUGCAAGGCAGUGGAAACUGAAUAGCUAGAGUGCGGUAGGGGCAGAGGGAAUUCCCGGUGUAGCGGUGAAAUGCGUAGAGAUCGGGAAGAACACCGGUGGCGAAAGCGCUCUGCUGGGCCGCAACUGACACUGAGGGACGAAAGCUAGGGGAGCGAAUGGGAUUAGAUACCCCAGUAGUC
This 399-nucleotide ribosomal RNA is filed under the name uncultured cyanobacterium. Its description in RNAcentral is "bacterial SSU rRNA". It matches the Rfam family "Bacterial small subunit ribosomal RNA", at positions 382 to 795 of the family's 1533-position model. The record is from RNAcentral. Lineage: Bacteria; Bacillati; Cyanobacteriota.